Molecule: non-coding RNA, 994 nt
Organism: Phascolarctos cinereus (koala)
Lineage: Eukaryota; Metazoa; Chordata; Mammalia; Diprotodontia; Phascolarctidae
Source: RefSeq, a predicted model, not a curated record
UAGCUAGAGAAGGUCAAAAAGAAUAAUGAACUUCAUUCCAUUUCCCCUCAGCAACACAUCCCAACCUGGACUGUCUCAGGUCUCUUUUCACUCACCUAGUUUUUAUUACUUUUCAUCUUUACUCUAAGUGAUGGGAUGAACCAAUGAUAUACAGGUCACAUGUCCCUGUUCCUAGCAAUAACAUUGUCAACUAAGUGAAGAUUGAGGAUUUCUUUUUCCUUGCUGUGCUUGAAGCUCUGAGUUUAAACUACAGGGAGAAAGUAUUUGACAAAAACAAAUGUGAGUGGAAAAAGUCAUAACCUGUUCACUGAGCUUAUUUCUCUUUGAAGAUUUUUUUUUCCAGUUUUGUUUCUUAAGCAACACAUUUCAUCAGACAAUUUACCAUGCAAAAUGUACAAUUAGUGAAACUGGGAAAUGCCUUCUUAGGUAAAUAUCAUUGACAUUUUACUGUUGAACAUCUUUUGGUUCUGGCUGAUACUGGGUAUAUUCAGUGGAAAGGGGAGAAGGAAGACUCAUCUGCAAGACUGCUGGUGGAGAAAAAAUUCAAGGUUAUGUACAAUUAAAACAUCUGGAAUUUCAGGCCAGGCCACCUGGAUGCUUGAGCCCAUAAAAACUGAGGUUGCACACGUGCCCCUGAGAACUGGCGGAGUGUAUGUAUUGUAUUCUCUGUGAAACAGGAAGCUAGCUGAUCCAGACCUGAGAGGCCACUCCCUGUCUGCGGAAAAGACAAUCUCUGACUUCCAGUCAUACUUGAAAUGGCCACUCAAGAAAGGUAGGUGGACACAGAAUACCCCACUCCUUUCCUCUUCCUACUUCCAAUCUCUUAUGCCUGGGGUAAUCCUCAGCUCCUACCUUGUUCCUGUUUCUCAUGUGGUCCAGGGGAACUUGAGUCUAAGAUAACAGAGCUGGUAGUGAUAAGGAAUGGGAGGAUGAGUGAUGCUAAAUCCUUCUUGGCCUGAACUGUUGCCUCCCUCUCUAGCCCUAGAAGAGUAUC